This 433-nucleotide ribosomal RNA is filed under the name uncultured bacterium. RNAcentral describes it as "partial 16S ribosomal RNA". It matches the Rfam family "Bacterial small subunit ribosomal RNA", at positions 29 to 507 of the family's 1533-position model. The record is from RNAcentral.
AACGAACGCUGGCGGCAUGCCUAACACAUGCAAGUCGAACGAGACCUUCGGGUCUAGUGGCGCACGGGUGCGUAACGCGUGGGAACCUGCCCUUAGGUUCGGAAUAACUCCCCGAAAGGGGUGCUAAUACCGGAUAAGGUCUUCGGACCAAAGAUUUAUCGCCUUUGGAUGGGCCCGCGUUGGAUUAGCUAGUUGGUAGGGUAAAAGCCUACCAAGGCGACGAUCCAUAGCUGGUCUGAGAGGAUGAUCAGCCACACUGAGACUGAGACACGGCCCAGACUCCUACGGGAGGCAGCAGUGGGGAAUAUUGGACAAUGGGCGAAAGCCUGAUCCAGCAAUGCCGCGAGAGUGAUGAAGGCCUUAGGGUUGUAAAGCUCUUUUACCCGGGAUGAUAAUGACAGUACCGGGAGAAUAAGCUCCGGCUAACUCCGUG